CGUGUUCACUGUAUUUCAGCAGAGCAGAGAGGUGGAAUCUUAUCACUGGCUCUUUUAGAGUCUCUGCUCAUAGAGGUGGCCAACUUUUAAAAAUAUGACCCCAGGGGAUUGUUCUGUGUGGAUCUUUCUUAGGAGCUUGAGGAGCAGCACGAAAUAGCCUGAGAUUUGGAAUCUGAGCACCGGCGCUUACUAGUCAUGGUCCUUAGCAAAAUGUCUUCGCCUUCCAGAGCCUCUAUUUCUCCAGCAGUGCUCCGGGAAGGAACCGCCUUCCUUGCUGAGUCACGAGGCUCAACGGAGAUGACACGGCAGCUUCUGGGCCAGCUCGGAAUCCUGGUAGGAGGCAGCUUCCAGAGGUCUAGAGCCGGAGACGUGAAAACUACCGCAAUGUCAGCUGAGUGGAGGCUCCAGGGGCGCUCCAAGGUCAUUUCGCUGUGAGUCUGGCUCUCCAGAUGGGAGCUGCCCUGGCAAGCACAACUGAGAGCCCCAGUGCCCAUGAACUUCAGUCAGGAAUGGCAGGGUGGUAUCUUGAAAGACGUGUGAGGUGUGCAUGGGUGACACUGCGUCCUUGAGCAGCCCUAGCGUAUUUUUUAAGCACUCACGGGCAUGGCCAUGGCAAGGACCCUGCAUUUAUCAUGUCCUAUACUAGCCGGCACCGGUCUGCUGCUGCCACCAUAACCAGUCGUCCCCGAAUCUCAGUCACCGGAAGCAAUGACAGUGUAUUUCUCAGCGACAUUCCAUUCACAUUACUGCCCUUCAGGGAAGGGGUCUGCCCCGGCUGCUCCUCUGAUGGGUACAUCACCGCCUCAUCACGCCGUCCUCCCCCCACCAGCCGGGGAGUGUCGGGGAGCAUGGGGAACAGUGCACCUGCUGUGAAACGCAUCGGCCUGAAACAGCGCCCCACUCCGGCUCCCAUUUCCCCGGCCAGAGGCUGUCACAUCGCCACCCCUAAAUUCACGCAGGUGCAGAGAAGUGUAACCCUUCCCUGGGCCUUACGGAGAGGAAACCCGGGAAUAGCAGACGCCUCCAAGCCUCUACUGCGUCACUCAUCUCUACAACAAACUCGCGACUGAUCUCACGUGAGCAAGGCUACAUAGUAUUCUGUGGUGUCGAUGUGCCAGGGAAGAUGCCCAGCCAGCUCCAGCUUCUCCUACCGCGUCGCGUACGUGUGGGGACGCUUUUACU
Molecule: long non-coding RNA, 1182 nt
Organism: Tupaia belangeri chinensis (Chinese tree shrew)
Lineage: Eukaryota; Metazoa; Chordata; Mammalia; Scandentia; Tupaiidae
Exons: 4
Source: RefSeq, a predicted model, not a curated record